RNAcentral lists this ribosomal RNA (253 nucleotides) under uncultured bacterium. Its description in RNAcentral is "partial 16S ribosomal RNA". It matches the Rfam family "Bacterial small subunit ribosomal RNA", at positions 524 to 776 of the family's 1533-position model. The record is from RNAcentral.
UACAGAGGUGGCAAGCGUUGUUCGGAAUUACUGGGCGUAAAGGGCGCGUAGGCGGUUCGUUAAGUCCUGUGUGAAAUCCCCCGGCUCAACUGGGGAACUGCACAGGAAACUAGCGGGCUUGAGUUCGGGAGAGGGAAGCGGAAUUCCGGGUGUAGCGGUGAAAUGCGUAGAUAUCCGGAGGAACACCGGUGUCGAAGGCGGCUUCCUGGACCGACACUGACGCUGAGGCGCGAAGGCGUGGGGAGCGAACGGG